Molecule: long non-coding RNA, 1102 nt
Organism: Mauremys reevesii (Reeves's turtle)
Lineage: Eukaryota; Metazoa; Chordata; Testudines; Geoemydidae
Exons: 3
Source: RefSeq, a predicted model, not a curated record
CUGGGUUCUCCUACCAGUCCCUGAGAAGUGGUACUGGACUGAUGAAGUGGCAUCUGGAGAGCUGGUCCAGUGAGAUGUUGAUACCCCAGAAGGGGAAAACUACAGUAACCUGGCCAGACAGCCAAGCCAGGGAGCAGCCUGAGUUAUGAAGAGGGACUGGAAGUAAUCUGACUCCAGAAAGAGAGGAUACACCAUGGGGCACAAAAUGAAGGAUAGACUGGACAGAGAGAAUCACAUGCUCUAUAGAUUCGUUUCCCCGAAGCAUAUUGGUUGGAGGGUGUGAGAGAGCUACCCAUAUGCAUCUUCUGGAGCUGUCAUUCCAUCCCUUUCCACCUGCAUGAAAAUCAAACCAGGGACGGAAAGAAUCUCUGCAAGGGAUAAAACUGAAAUCUCUAUAGAAGAAAGUAACGUCUGAUUCAACUCACAGCAAAUUGUCCUUGUUCUGAAACAAGAACUCGAACAAAGUCCCCCAUGAAAUCUAUGCUUGCACUGUAUUAUGUCACAGGAAGAAGGGCCUCUUCAUACCUGUAGCGUUUUUUAAAGUAAUCAUAUUUAGUAAACAUGACAUUCUAGACUGGUUAUUCAGGGGAACUAAGUCCUCCAUUUAUCCACAGAUCAGGUACAGCAAACAAAAGCAGUGUAAGAUUUCUUGUUGCCCCACUAAUAUAAUCCAGCUAUAAGCUUGGAGGAACAAGUAGUUUGGGCUUCAAAACCAUUUAAUUCAUGGCAUCUGUUCUGAGAUUCCCAACCAAAAAAUGGCUAUCGUAAAUCAUGGUGCUAGUAGAUGCCUGUCUGCUAAGAACUAAAUUGAAACUACCAGUUCUCUUCAACCCUAUUUAAGAUUUGUGCAAUGCUUUCCAUUCAGCUAACUACUGCCCCCGUGGCAGAAUGUGCUUACGUAUUUCCAAGAUUUUCAGUGCUGACUACAGCACAACUACAAAAAUAAAUCUUGCAUCAAGGGGAGUGCCUUGUUCAUCCCUUUUUCAUUGCUUUAAAUUACCCCAGAAUGCACCUUGGAAGCCCUACUGAUAAAUUAUAGCCAUCAUGCCUCCAGCCAAAGAGGGAUAAACAGCAUUUCAUUCAUAGUAGGUUUGUGCCACUU